GAUGAACGCUGGCGGCGUGCCUAAUACAUGCAAGUCGAGCGAACAGACGAGGAGCUUGCUCCUCUGGCGUUAGCGGCGGACGGGUGAGUAACACGUGGAUAACCUACCUAUAAGACUGGGAUAACUUCGGGAAACCGGAGCUAAUACCGGAUAAUAUAUUGAACCGCAUGGUUCAAUAGUGAAAGACGGUUUUGCUGUCACUUAUAGAUGGAUCCGCGCCGCAUUAGCUAGUUGGUAAGGUAACGGCUUACCAAGGCAACGAUGCGUAGCCCACCUGAGAGGGUGAUCGGCCACACUGGAACUGAGACACGGUCCAGACUCCUACGGGAGGCAGCAGUAGGGAAUCUUCCGCAAUGGGCGAAAGCCUGACGGAGCAACGCCGCGUGAGUGAUGAAGGUCUUCGGAUCGUAAAACUCUGUUAUUAGGGAAGAACAAAUGUGUAAGUAACUAUGCACGUCUUGACGGUACCUAAUCAGAAAGCCACGGCUAACUACGUG
Molecule: ribosomal RNA, 497 nt
Filed under: uncultured bacterium
Lineage: Bacteria
Description: partial 16S ribosomal RNA
Rfam family: Bacterial small subunit ribosomal RNA
Source: RNAcentral